UACGGAGGGUGCGAGCGUUGUCCGGAAUCACUGGGCGUAAAGGGCGCGUAGGCGGCGCGGAUAGUCGGCGGUGAAAGCCCGGAGCUCAACUCCGGGUCGGCCGUCGAUACUUCCGGGCUUGAGCACUGUAGAGGCAGAUGGAAUUCCGGGUGUAGCGGUGGAAUGCGUAGAGAUCCGGAAGAACACCGGUGGCGAAGGCGGUCUGCUGGGCAGUUGCUGACGCUGAUGCGCGACAGCGUGGGGGAGCAAACAGG
This 254-nucleotide ribosomal RNA is filed under the name uncultured bacterium. RNAcentral describes it as "partial 16S ribosomal RNA". It matches the Rfam family "Bacterial small subunit ribosomal RNA", at positions 524 to 776 of the family's 1533-position model. The record is from RNAcentral.